UUCCUCCAUCCAUGGAGGUCGUACGGUGAAUGCCUUAGUUGAGAUGGUAUUACUGAAAAAGCUUUACAAUCUUGUUAUCCGAAUUGGCUGUUUGGUUGUGCUUGAAACAAAGCCCAACGGGACAGCGAAACAGUUUGCUUGGCGACGAUAGCGAACGGGAACCACCCGAUCCCAUUCCGAACUCGGAAGUGAAAACGUUCAGCGCCGAUGAUAGUGUGGAUUGCCCAUGCGAAAGUAGGACAUUGCCAAGC
RNAcentral lists this ribosomal RNA (251 nucleotides) under Permianibacter aggregans. Lineage: Bacteria; Pseudomonadati; Pseudomonadota; Gammaproteobacteria; Pseudomonadales; Pseudomonadaceae. The record is from RNAcentral.